Molecule: long non-coding RNA, 1150 nt
Filed under: Felis catus (domestic cat)
Lineage: Eukaryota; Metazoa; Chordata; Mammalia; Carnivora; Felidae
Description: lncRNA (ENSFCAG00000052923.1)
Source: RNAcentral
UCUCUCUCUCUCUCUCUCUCUCAAAAUAAAUUUAAAAAAUUUUUAAAUAAAUAAAAAAAUAUUAAUUUGACAAAUAUUUAUUAAGCACCUACUAUGUCCCAGGAUCCCAGAGUUCCAAAAAUGAAAAAUUGAUUAAACUGCUGUUCUUAGAGAUCUAAAAGUCUACCACACCUUUUGUUAACCAAAUGGGUAAAAAUAUUUAGAUUCCACCAAGUUUAUGUUCUUUUUUUUUUUUUUUUUUUUUCAGUAGGCUUCAUGGCUAGCGCAGAGCCCAAUGCGGGGCUUAAACUCAUGAUCGAUCCUGAGAUCAAGACUUGAGCUGAGAUCGACAGUCAGACGCUUAACCGAUGAAGCCAUUCACGUCCCCUAUGUUCUUAUUUUUCAACCUAAACCCACAUAGCCAGCUGGCCAGCAAGAGAUGAACGACGUUCUCCUUCAUCGUGAGCGCUUCCCCUGGCUGCUUGAAAACAAUGCGCAGAGAAAACUUGAGCGUGAACCGACACACCUUCUGAGCCACGCGGGUGCGCGGGCCUCAUUUCUCCUUUUGCCGCUUUCUGUAUGAAGGAAUGUGCCUAGAAGCCUGUAACUCAUCGACGUUCGCGUGAGUUAGCCUUUUAUCUCACACGGUUGCGUAGCCUCUCCUCUUAGUCAGACACGGGAUCAGUUAAGAUUUUGUUAUGAAAGAAUACAUCUCCAAAUAACUGAAGUUUUAAAAAACGCAAACUUGUUCAUCCCUUCUGACUCAAAAGGCUGAAAGUAAAGCCAAAGGCACUGGUGAAUCCAGGUACUGAAACUCACUAUUUCAGUAGAUAGUUCUCUAUUAGAACUCCAUUUUUUUUUAAUGUUUAUUUAUUUGUUUUGAGAAAAAGAGAGAGAGGGGGAGACAGAGAAUCCCAAGCAGGCUCUGUGCUCUCAGCACAGAGCCCCACACUGGGCUCAGUCUCACAAAGCAGGAGAUCAAAAGUCGGACGCUUGAUCGAUUGCUCCAUUCGGGCACCCCAGCACUCUAUUUUCAUAUCUGCUUUUUAUGCUGCUCUUUGUGUUGGUUUCAUGCUCUUCAACCAGAGGCAGAUUUCCUCCGUGUGGCCGGAAAGAUGAGACCCAGCAGCUCUCCUUGAGUCAGGAACCUCAAACUUGGAGCGAUCCCUGU